CCUACGGGAGGCAGCAGUGAGGAAUAUUUGUCAAUGGACGAGAGUCUGAACCAGCCAAGUAGCGUGAAGGAUGACUGCCCUAUGGGUUGUAAACUUCUUUUAUAAAGGAAUAAAACGAGGCAAGUGUGCCUUUUUGCAUGUACUUUAUGAAUAAGGAUCGGCUAACUCCGUGCCAGCAGCCGCGGUAAUACGGAGGAUCCGAGCGUUAUCCGGAUGUAUUGGGUUUAAAGGGAGCGUAGAUGGGUUGUUAAGUCAGUUGUGAAAGUUUGCGGCGCAACCGUAAAAUUGCAAUUGAUACUGGCAGUCUUGAGUACAGUUGAGGUAGGCGGAAUUCGUGGUGUAGCGGUGAAAUGCUUAGAUAUCACGAAGAACCCCGAUUGCGAAGGCAGCUUACUAAACUGUGACUGACAUUGAUGCUCGAAAGUGUGGGUAUCAAACAGGAUUAGAUACCCCGGUAGUC
This 460-nucleotide ribosomal RNA is filed under the name uncultured bacterium. RNAcentral's name for it is "partial 16S ribosomal RNA". It matches the Rfam family "Bacterial small subunit ribosomal RNA", at positions 338 to 795 of the family's 1533-position model. The record is from RNAcentral.